RNAcentral lists this ribosomal RNA (908 nucleotides) under human gut metagenome. Its description in RNAcentral is "bacterial SSU rRNA". It matches the Rfam family "Bacterial small subunit ribosomal RNA", at positions 8 to 910 of the family's 1533-position model. The record is from RNAcentral.
AGAGUUUGAUCCUGGCUCAGGAUGAACGCUAGCGACAGGCUUAACACAUGCAAGUCGAGGGGCAGCACAGGUAGCAAUACCGGGUGGCGACCGGCGCACGGGUGAGUAACGCGUAUGCAACUUGCCUAUCAGAGGGGGAUAACCCGGCGAAAGUCGGACUAAUACCGCAUGAAGCAGGGGCCCCGCAUGGGGAUAUUUGCUAAAGAUUCAUCGCUGAUAGAUAGGCAUGCGUUCCAUUAGGCAGUUGGCGGGGUAACGGCCCACCAAACCGACGAUGGAUAGGGGUUCUGAGAGGAAGGUCCCCCACAUUGGUACUGAGACACGGACCAAACUCCUACGGGAGGCAGCAGUGAGGAAUAUUGGUCAAUGGCCGAGAGGCUGAACCAGCCAAGUCGCGUGAGGGAUGAAGGUUCUAUGGAUCGUAAACCUCUUUUAUAAGGGAAUAAAGUGCGGGACGUGUCCCGUUUUGUAUGUACCUUAUGAAUAAGGAUCGGCUAACUCCGUGCCAGCAGCCGCGGUAAUACGGAGGAUCCGAGCGUUAUCCGGAUUUAUUGGGUUUAAAGGGUGCGUAGGCGGCCUUUUAAGUCAGCGGUGAAAGUCUGUGGCUCAACCAUAGAAUUGCCGUUGAAACUGGGGGGCUUGAGUAUGUUUGAGGCAGGCGGAAUGCGUGGUGUAGCGGUGAAAUGCAUAGAUAUCACGCAGAACCCCGAUUGCGAAGGCAGCUCACUGCCAAGCCAUUACUGACGCUGAUGCACGAAAGCGUGGGGAUCAAACAGGAUUAGAUACCCUGGUAGUCCACGCAGUAAACGAUGAUCACUAGCUGUUUGCGAUACACUGUAAGCGGCACAGCGAAAGCGUUAAGUGAUCCACCUGGGGAGUACGCCGGCAACGGUGAAACUCAAAGGAAU